RNAcentral lists this ribosomal RNA (2021 nucleotides) under wastewater metagenome. Its description in RNAcentral is "bacterial LSU rRNA". It matches the Rfam family "Bacterial large subunit ribosomal RNA", at positions 1 to 1985 of the family's 2925-position model. The record is from RNAcentral.
AGAAGCUACUAAGGGCAUACGGUGGAUGCCUUGGCGUCAAAUGCCGAUGAAGGACGUAGUACACUGCGAUAAGCUUCGGGAAGCUGUGUGCAAGCAUUAUUACCCGAAGAUCUCCGAAUGGGGAAACCUGCACGAGCGAUCCUCGUGCGUCCCAAGCUGAACACAUAGGCUUGGGAAGGGAACCUGGGGAACUGAAACAUCUAAUUACCCAGAGGAAAAGAAAUUAUUCCGCUAGUAGUGGCGAGCGAACGCGGAACAGCCCAAACCGGUUGUGCUUGCACAACCGGGGUUGUAGGGUCCAGCAUAUGGGAGUUACAAACCAGUCUGUUAGCUGAAUGCUUCUGGAAAGAGCAACCACAGCAGGUGAUAGUCCUGUAGGCGAAAACAGUCUGGCUCCCGCUGGAUACCUGAGUACUGCCGGGCACGCUAAUCCGGCAGGAACCCGGGGAGUCCACUCUCCAAGGCUAAAUACAUUUGACGACCGAUAGCGGACAAGUACCGUGAGGGAAAGGUGAAAAGUACCCCUGCUAGGGGAGUGAAAUAGAACCUGAAACCGUAUGCUUACAAUCAGUCGAAGGGCGUCUGGCCUGCCUUAGGGCGGGCUCGGCCUGACGGCGUGCCUCUUGGAGAAUGAGCCAGCGAGUUAAUAGUUGUGGCAAGCUUAAGGGAGUAACACCCGGAGGCGCAGCGAAAGCGAGUCUGAAUAGGGCGUACAGUCGCAACAAUUAGACACGAAACCCGGUGAGCUACCCAUGGCCAGGGUGAAGCGAGCUUAAAACCUCGUGGAGGCCCGUACCUACUAAUGUUGCAAAAUUAGGGGAUGAGCUGUGGGUAGGGGUGAUAUGCCAAUCGAACCGGGAGAUAGCUUGUUCUCCCCGAAAUAGCUUUAGGGCUAGCGUCACACGUUCAGUAUCGGGGGUAGAGCACUGAAGUGGCUAGGGGGCUUAUUGCCUACCAAACCGCAUCAAACUCCGAAUACCGGUACUCCAGAGUGUGGCAGUCGGACUACGGGUGAUGAGAUUCGUGGUCAAAAGGGAAACAGCCCAGACCAUCGGCUAAGGUCCCAAAAUUUGAGCUAAGUGGUAAACGAUGUGGGAUUACUCUGACAGCCAGGAGGUUGGCUUAGAAGCAGCCAUCCUUUAAAGAGUGCGUAACAGCUCACUGGUCAAGUGAUCCUGCGCGGACAAUUCAACGGGGCUAAGCUCAAUACCGAAGCCAUGGGUCGUGCGCAUCUUCGGAUGUGCAUGGCGGUAGGGGAGCGUUCUGCUUGCACUGAAGGUCGACCGGAAGGACGGCUGGAGCGGGCAGAAGUGAGAAUGCUGGCAUGAGUAGCGUAAAGCACGUGAGAAUCGUGUUCGCCGUAAGUCUAAGGUUUCCGACGCAAGGUUGUUCCGCGUCGGGUUAGUCGGCCCUUAGCUGAGGCCGAAAGGCGUAAGUGAUGGACAUCCGGUUAAUAUUCCGGAACCACCGCAGUUGAGUGAAGGGGGGACGCAGGACGGUAGAUCAGCCGACCCACUGGACAUGGUCGGUGCUAAACGGGUAGGUGUUGAGGUGCGCAGGGAAAUCCGCGCGCUGAGCUGAGACGUGAUGGCGUGGCCUAGAGCCUGAAGUGAUUGAGCCGAACUGCCAAGAAAAGCCUCGUAGCGUUGAGACUGUGGUGUCCGUACCGCAAACCGACACUGGUAGACGGGUAGAGAAUACCAAGGCGAACGGGAGAACCCUUGUUAAGGAACUAGGCAACAUGGCCCCGUAACUUCGGGAGAAGGGGUGCCUUUAAGCGUGAAGUAUGUACAUACCUAGCGCCUAGAGGUCGCAGUGAAUAGGCUCUGGUGACUGUUUAACAAAAACACAGGUCCCUGCUAAAGUGUAAACUGAUGUAUAGGGGCUGACGCCUGCCCAGUGCCGGAAGGUUAAGGGGAGAGGUUAGUCGCAAGACGAAGCUUUGAACUGAAGCCCCGGUGAACGGCGGCCGUAACUAUAACGGUCCUAAGGUAGCGAAAUUCCUUGUCGGGUAAGUUCCG